GGAUCUUCCUGAGGCCCCGGCAGCCGGCUGUCUCGUGUCUGGAACCCUGUGCAGAUCCGACAAGAGACCCCCGCGGAGGGGGUACUGGUCCCAUGACAACGGACACACCCGUCAGCGCCAGGUGCGAUCCGGCGACAGGGUUUUCUAAGUGGACUUCCUCCAGGAGGGUGAGGAUGGAUGACGCAGCACUAAGAACAUACUAGAACCAGCUGUCACACGGCACACGGCUGGUGACUGGAGCUUCCCCGUCACUCACCUGGGAAGGAGCAGGUCAGGAACCCCCAGUCCUGCAGGUCCUCAGCGCAGGGCACGGCCCCUUGCUCCAGAUGGGAGAUGAGGGGUGGCUUAGGGCAGGCAAGGCCUGCUCGUGGAGAAGGGAAGUCAGUGUGCAUAGCAGAUCACCUCUGUCCCAACACCUGGCCUUGACCCUUCUGCUCACACUGCAGAGGAGAGUGUGAGCAGGGGGGAGAAAAGGGUGUACUUGGGGGGGUCUGCCAAGGUGUAAGCAAGCAUGUAGGGAUGACCUCAGAAAGGUCACGCUCAGAAGGGCAGAGGAGGAGACCCCAGGAAGCAGUCACUUGGUUGUAUUUUCCCCGUUGUGGCUGCGAGGCAAGAAUGAGGGCUCUGACUUUCACUGGGAGGCCCGGAGACGUCAAUAGACAGCAAGUAAAGAGUAAGGACAGGAAAAAGGACUAAGCCAAGCAUGGGGUGUCCUCACCAGCCGACAGCAUGUUGCCAUAGUUCUCCAGCAUCACGUCAGUGUACAGGUGCCUCUGGGCGCGGGUCAGACACUGCCACUCUCCGCUACUGAAGCACACGGCCACAUCCUCAAACGUCACCGCGUCCUGCAAGGAUAUGCUCCCGCUGACCCGGAGGAAACCCCAGUCCCCAGGAAACAGACGCAGAAGAAGGGAUUCUCAGGAGGUUUCUAGAAAUGAAAGGAAGGAUGGAGGGGCCUCAGCUCGCCUGGGCCCCACUCACCGGUGUGGUAUUUGCUCCUGGCCGGUCUCCGUGGCUUCCGUCGUUGGCAAAGGCAGGAUGCUGAGGAGCCCGCAGGGCUGAGGGAAGAGAAAUGAGUCAACUUGGCACGAUUCCGUGCCCCAUGGGAGGCUUGAGCUCACGACCCUGAGUCCAAGUCAUGUGCUGCACCAACUGGGCCAGCCAGGUGCCCCCAAAGUUUUUUGAACUGUGGCACAGAAUAUGUGACAAAAUUUACCGUCUUAAGCAUUCUUAAGUGUAUGGUUCAGCAGUGUUGAAAACACACAAUGUGAGUCAUCUCCACAACUUUUUCAUCCUGCAAAACUUAAACUCUCUAUGCAUCACACAACCUGCCUGUGUCUCUCCCUCCCCAGUCCCUGGUCACCACAGUGAUUCUUAGGCUUUAUUUUUUAGCUUUAGAUUUUGAAAGGUCAGUUUCUGCCCUCAAGUUAAAAAUGAAUCUGGGACACAGGCUGUGUGCUCACGACAUGAAACUACCUUGGUCAGCUCAGGCUGCCCUAACAAAAUACCCCAGGCUGGCUGGCUCACUUCUCUCAGUUCCGGAGGCUGGACGUUCAGAUCCAGGUGUCGGCCCCUCCUGGCUUCCGUCCCUCUCCUCUCACAUGGGAGAGACAGAGUUCUGGGCCCCUCCUCAUAUAAGGACACUACUCUCUUCAUUGCCAUCCUUAUGACUUUAUCUAAACCUCAUUUCUUCCUGAGGCCCCACCCACCUCUCCAUAUCAUCACACGGGUUCAGGGACAUGUGCAUUUUGAGGGGACACAUUCAGUCCAUAACAAAACUAUUUGUUAAAGCUGGGCACAGAUAGUAUCUGGGAUGAGACUGAUUCAUUUAUGAUUCCUUAUACAGUAGAAAUGUCAGGAUUUCUCCUUUGGAAGUGCCAAUAACAUACUUUUUUUUUUCAUUGUAGACAAUAAAUACUAAAAGCCUACUUUCGAGGUGCCUGGUGCCUCGUCCUCUGUCCAAAGGUCGGUGCCAUUCAGGGUCUGCCUGUAGGACUCCAGAAUUGCUAAACGCCAGGCCCUGGGUUUUACUUCCAGCAGCCACGUCUAUACAGCCUUGUCCACCUUCCUCUGCACAUGUCCCAUCAAAGAGCAUUUCUAAACCCAGCCUCGCAUUUUCCCAAAGCUUCACAAGACCUUUGCUCCUUCUUGGCCAGUUGUUUCCAGAUCACUCACUCUGAGGGAGGCCAGCUGUCACAUUGUGAGGAGUGGCCCACAUGGUGAGGAAAUGAAACCCCCGCCAACAGCCAUUUGAAUGAGUUUAGAAGUGCAUCCUCCAGCCCCCAGUCUAGCCAUCAGAUGACUACAGCCCAGAUCACAGACUCAAAGCCAACAGUUGAGCUGCUCUCAGAUUCCUGAUCUGCAGAAACUGUGCGAGGUAA
Felis catus (domestic cat) is the source of this 2381-nucleotide long non-coding RNA. RefSeq lists it as uncharacterized. The record is from RefSeq and is a predicted model, not a curated record. The transcript has 5 exons. Lineage: Eukaryota; Metazoa; Chordata; Mammalia; Carnivora; Felidae.